CCUAUUAACUAUUAAUUUUAUUGAGAAACCCAACCGUUUCAUUCUUCCUUCAUUGGUAGUAAUAGCCCAUUAAUUUCUACCAAAACCCUUUCUUCUUCCUCUUUGAAUGACAACAAUUUCAAACGCUAAUAUCUCUUUUUUCUCUCCAUGGAUAAAAAGAGGGUUCCACUUUUCCUCCAUGGAUAAAAAGAGAGUUCGACUUUUCUUCUUGAAAUCCAUCAAGGUCCAUGUCAAAAUUGCACUGUAUGUGAUAUGACUUGGAAUUCAACUCAACUUGGUAAUCUAAGGGGGAAAAGACGGGAAAAACGAUCUUGGCCUGUUUUAUCAAUACAUGCCGUCACCAAAAUAUUUAAGCUUUUGGUGAUCUGUCUUUACUUUCUCUUGCAGGUUCAAUCACAGAGAAGUAUUUUUUUCCAGUUUUUGUAGCAAAAGAUCAACCAUUGUUAUCAUUCAUUGGUUUUAUAUUUAAUUCCUUUUUUUCUCUAAACCGUUGUUUAUAUGCUUUUUGGGAGACGGACAUAUGAAUUGUCCUUUCAGCGACUUCACAAAUCGUGCUUAUGGCGCGGGAAAAAGAGAAGACGACUCGCCGUUCUCCUCUCGAUUUCCCCAUUGUGAGCUUUCGCCGACUAUACCAAAGAUGCAAUUACUCUGCCUGAAAGUUACAGUAGUGGACCUGCAUCAUAUCCCCUCAACUGCUAGCCAUGUUGGUAAUGGUGGAAAUUUUUGAUCUGAUGUCCGUGGUGGUGGUCAGGGUAGCCCAGUAACUCAAAUAUUUCUGAUGUUACCGUUGAAGAACUCCAAGAACUUUUUGGAAGUAUUGGACAAGUAAUAUGAAAUUUCUUUUGGUUAUGAUUAUUGUUUUAGAGUUAUUUUUCCAUUAGCAAAUCAUUGUUUUUCUUUAAUUCACAAUUCCAUGAUGCUCAAUGUGGUAUUGCUACUUGGAGGAUGAUGAUAACAUGUCCGGAUACUGAAUAUUUUAGAUCUUUUGUCUUUUAAUGAUAAUAUAAAUAUUGCAUAAUUUCAA
Nicotiana tabacum (common tobacco) is the source of this 1024-nucleotide long non-coding RNA. RefSeq lists it as uncharacterized. The record is from RefSeq and is a predicted model, not a curated record. Lineage: Eukaryota; Viridiplantae; Streptophyta; Magnoliopsida; Solanales; Solanaceae.